UACGUAGGGGGCUAGCGUUGUCCGGAAUCAUUGGGCGUAAAGCGUGCGCAGGCGGCUUUGCAAGACAGAUGCGAAAUCCCCGGGCUUAACCUGGGAACUGCAUUUGUGACUGCAUGGCUGGAGUGCGGCAGAGGGGGAUGGAAUUCCGCGUGUAGCAGUGAAAUGCGUAGAUAUGCGGAGGAACACCGAUGGCGAAGGCAAUCCCCUGGGCCUGCACUGACGCUCAUGCACGAAAGCGUGGGGAGCAAACAGG
Molecule: ribosomal RNA, 253 nt
Filed under: uncultured bacterium
Lineage: Bacteria
Description: partial 16S ribosomal RNA
Rfam family: Bacterial small subunit ribosomal RNA
Source: RNAcentral